Molecule: ribosomal RNA, 253 nt
Filed under: uncultured bacterium
Lineage: Bacteria
Description: partial 16S ribosomal RNA
Rfam family: Bacterial small subunit ribosomal RNA
Source: RNAcentral
UACGAAGGGGGCUAGCGUUGCUCGGAAUCACUGGGCGUAAAGCGCACGUAGGCGGGUCGUUAAGUCGGGGGUGAAAUCCUGGAGCUCAACUCCAGAACUGCCUUCGAUACUGGCGACCUUGAGUCCGGGAGAGGUGAGUGGAACUCCGAGUGUAGAGGUGAAAUUCGUAGAUAUUCGGAAGAACACCAGUGGCGAAGGCGGUCAGCUGGUCCGUUACUGACACUAAAGCACGAAAGCGUGGGUAGCAAACAGG